GAAGAAAGAGAAUUUUGACGAAGUUUUGACUUCGCGAAGUGAGCGCCAGCAAGACAAACAUGGCGGAAUCAACAAUGAGACGCCUCACAGACAAAAGCACAACAAAAGCAAUCUGGACCAUGGGAAUCUCAACACACGAGAAAUCCUGAACAUCCUUCCAAGAGGAUGAAGAAGUCCAAUGAUCAUUGUUGUGUUCCAGAGUGUGAGGGGGACGUUCGAUACGAUUCCUCUCUGUCUUUUCAUCGAAUCCCAAAGAAUAACGACCUUAGAAAGAUCUGGAGUUCAAAAAUUAGAA
Molecule: long non-coding RNA, 295 nt
Organism: Stylophora pistillata
Lineage: Eukaryota; Metazoa; Cnidaria; Anthozoa; Scleractinia; Pocilloporidae
Source: RefSeq, a predicted model, not a curated record